GACGAACGCUGGCGGCGUGCUUAACACAUGCAAGUCGAACGGAAAGGCCCUGCUUUUGUGGGGUGCUAGAGUGGCGAACGGGUGAGUAACACGUGAGUAACCUGCCCUUGACUUUGGGAUAACUUCAGGAAACUGGGGCUAAUACCGGAUAGGAGCUCCUGCUGCAUGGUGGGGGUUGGAAAGUUUCGGCGGUUGGGGAUGGACUCGCGGCUUAUCAGCUUGUUGGUGGGGUAGUGGCUUACCAAGGCUUUGACGGGUAGCCGGCCUGAGAGGGUGACCGGCCACAUUGGGACUGAGAUACGGCCCAGACUCCUACGGGAGGCAGCAGUGGGGAAUAUUGCACAAUGGGCGGAAGCCUGAUGCAGCAACGCCGCGGGCGGGAUGACGGCCUUCGGGUUGUAAACCGCUUUCGCCUGUGACGAAGCGUGAGUGACGGUAAUGGGUAAAGAAGCACCGGCUAACUACGUG
RNAcentral lists this ribosomal RNA (468 nucleotides) under uncultured bacterium. RNAcentral describes it as "partial 16S ribosomal RNA". It matches the Rfam family "Bacterial small subunit ribosomal RNA", at positions 28 to 507 of the family's 1533-position model. The record is from RNAcentral.